GUACUGAAAGCGCAGCAGUAAAAAAAAGAAAACAAAACGAUAAAUCAGAUACCAGUGCAUCUAAAAACAAUUCUUCAGCGGAAGGGACAGUGCCAAAGAGGUGGUGGAUCAAGCCUGCAGAAAUGUGUCCAGCACUGUCUAGGGUCAAGCUGCAGAACUGAGGGUCCCGUGGAAGGUCUGGCCCCUCCAGCUCACUGGAACAAAGAUUGGUCCCUUGGCCAGCACAGUACCCUGGUUCCAGCCCCUCUGCAGCGCCCUUCACACUGCCAACGUGGUGCGCGGGCCUCGGAGAAAAUCCCUGUGCGCAUGGGGCUUACCAUCUGCUCAGGGUAUUGCCAAUAUCUGAUGGUAAAGAAACCAAGUCAUCUUGCAGCAGGCUUCAUUCCGGAGAGUGCUCAAAUGCUCCGUUCUGAAAGGAGUGGCGUGGUCUCUUCCGGUUACACAGAGCCAGGAAGCGCCAGAUAUGCAGGGAGGACAUUGUUCCUGGGAGAAGGUGACCACAAAAUCUCUAGUGGACACGACCCUACAUCUCCAAGAUUUUCUCUUCUGAUGUAAGAAGACCGUAGUGGGCAUUACAGGGCUGAAAUGGCACUUUCACAAAGCUGUUGGACCCAGGGCCCGCCAGCCUCCCCCUCCACCAUCUCUAGUUCCAGCUCUGUCCUCACCCUUCAUGGUCCAAGGCCGCUGCUCCAUUUCCCCGCAUUCUAGCCAGAAGACAAAGGCAAAGAAAGGCAUAGCACUUUCCUUUAAGGAAAGUUCCCAAAAGUUGAGGGACGUUUCUGUUUCCAUCCCUUCAGCCAGAACUAACCAAACCUGGCUCCAAGGGAAGCUAGCAAAUGCCACUUGGGUAGCCCUGUGCCUCGCUAAAAGUAGGGGCUUCUGUUAGCAAAGAAAACAGGACGAACAGGAAGUGGGAAACAAUCAUGUCUCUGCCUCUGGUGUAUCAGGACUUUUGAGGUUUCUUUUUCAUUCAUUGUUGUUUUGAUUGACGAAGGUCUGACUAUCCCCCUGAACCCCUCAGAAAAAACAGGCUGAGACCCUGACCCCUUCAUUCCCACUUUUCUUUUCCCCUUCUGGCAAAUUUUAUGCCUGAGGGUUUUUGUUUUGGCUUGGUGGUUGGUUUCUCGUUUUUGUGUUUUUGGCUUGGUUUUUUGUUUGUUUUUUAAUAAACUGACAUUUAAAUUACA
Molecule: long non-coding RNA, 1187 nt
Filed under: Ursus maritimus (polar bear)
Lineage: Eukaryota; Metazoa; Chordata; Mammalia; Carnivora; Ursidae
Description: lncRNA (ENSUMAG00000013908.1)
Source: RNAcentral